AUCAAGAUUCUAGAGAAGAGGGAGAACGGAGCGGGCGGUCCUCUAUCGCUCGGCUAAAGCACAACGUACGAGAGAAAAUAGCCCGCUUCCAGGCGCUAAGCCGCCGCUUCGUUCCUCCCCCAGAUCCCGUGCAUCUAUGCCGCCGCCCCCAACCUCUCUUCCUCCGCGCGCCAAAUCCCCCUCUCUCCUGCUAAAAUCGAGUCCUCCCGCUCCAAUCCGUCAUAUAACCCUCCCAAAUCCACUCCCAUGCCACCAAAUUCGUCCCCAAAUCGCCUCCUCUCAAACCCUAGACCCCAAAUUCGUCCUCAAAUCACAUCAAGAUGAGGUGGCAGUCCAAAAGGACGUUUGCACCGGCAUCACUGGAGGUCCCGCCGCCGGCACUAACACAACAGUCCAUGGUGACCUCCUCCUCACCAUGCUUCUCGACGGGUUACAACAACCAGGCAUGGGGAGUGGAUUCUCACCCACUCGGUGGGUUUCUUAAUUUAUUGAAGAAAAACACACCAAGUGGUGCACAAGUUGUGAUCAAUGGUAGUUCAUCGCAGUCAAUCAAUGUUGGCGAUGACACCAAUGUGGCGAUUGCCGAAGACUUAUUUGCCAGUAUUUUGAUUAAUGCUUUUUAGAAAGACUCAUGUAAUGUUUAAGUGGUUGUAUCAUGAUGCUAUAUGUUAUGUGCCAUUGGAUUAUGCUGGCAAUGUUGCUUGAAAACAGUAUCAUCUGGAUAUUAAAAUGACCAAUGUUGCUUGAAGUUGAUUUGUGAUAUGCAUGGAACUCAUAAUUAAUCAAUUAUAUGUUUUCUAA
Molecule: long non-coding RNA, 801 nt
Organism: Oryza sativa Japonica Group (Japanese rice)
Lineage: Eukaryota; Viridiplantae; Streptophyta; Magnoliopsida; Poales; Poaceae
Source: RefSeq, a predicted model, not a curated record